CGGCAAACGGCAUGGUGAAGCGGUGAAGCGUCAGAAAUAACUCAUGAUUCGUUGUACUAACGUUUCAUAGCGACCAAGUCGUAGCUAAAGACACGGUAAUUCACAUAGAUUAUCACAGAUAAUGUCACACAUGCGGUUAAAAUGUCGCGCAUUGUCUUGGUUCAAGUUACUCAACUGUGGCAAAUGAACCUAUAUGAUAAAGCUGUGCACAAACUCCAGUUUUUUCGAGCCAUGCAAACAAUUUAGCAUAAUCGAAAGGACAACAUAACGAGGGUCGGGAUAUCCCGAGCCUGCCCUCUCCCUCCACUGAGCAGAUGAUGGUUACAUCCGGGAUCCUGGGAUGGAGACAAACGACAUUAAACAGCUUGUACAAGCACGAGCAGAGGACCUGCAACAGGAAGAUCCUAAUGUCAUUGAUAACUGAAGAAGAACAGAAUUCGGCUGGCCGCCUUGUUCAUGCCUUGAGCGCAAGAAGCGUGAAGAAGGAAAAAACGAGUUGCUCCAAACCGGCCCGAGCCCGGGGAGCGCUCCGCUCCAGUCGAUGAGACGAGGUGGAAACUCAAUUCAGUUUUGGUUCCCCCAGUCCAGAUCCCAUCGGAGUGGGAAGACCUGGAAAUCCAGUUGCAAGCCAAGGAAACGGUAAUCUCUGAUCUGGAGAGGAAGCCCAGAGACGUUUUCCAACAGAAACAAAAGACUGUAACCCAGGUGCUGGAGGGCAGUAGGAGGCUCUCGUGUCUGCAGCGGAUCCAGAAAGGCGACAUGAAGGAGAUCGCUGAGAAAGACACUUGCAUCACCAAACUGCAGGCCGACACUGAGCUGCUGCAGCAAGAGGGGGGCCGACGCAGACGCUCAGCUGAAUGGGAGAGAGCGAGGGAGCUUCAGCAGGAGCCGAGGCGAAAAAGAUGAGGAAUGGAGGCAAAGCGAAGACGAAAGGAGGCAGAAAUGUGAAAAGCAGUGUCAGGAGGCAGACGAGGCGGCUGAGAAAAGUGGAGGAGGUGAAGAAGAGGGAGGAACAACAACGGCGGGAGGGGAUUGAGGAGGAGAGAGAGGCCCAUACUCGAAUCUAUAAAAAGGGGACUGAGAAGUCUGAGUUGCCGGUCAGAGUCUCACCAGAAGGAGGAGAUUCUUCUCUCUGAGGUUUGGAAAACACAAGCAAAAGAAGAAAAAGAAAAAGAUGAAAGCGCGAGAUGAGCAUGGGAGCCACCUGGACCAGGAUGUGGUUGGUUUGCGAGCCACACGGGACUCUGUGACGGGAACCUUGGCAAUGACGGAGAAACAAAAGCAACAGCUGGUCAUUGACAAUGCACGGCUCAAUGAAAGCAGAGCAAACUGCAAACCACCGAGUGCUUGUGGAACGACACCCGUGAAACAACACCGGCCCCGGACACGGAAAGAGCAGCAGAGAGUGCAGAUCCAAGACCAGUUGCACCGCUCCAACAAAGAGAAGGAGCACGUGCAGCAGGAGCUGAUACACGUGCGUCACACACCACUGAAAAGAAGAAGAGGGAGAUUAGGACGUGCGCGCUGGUGAGGGAGCUCACCGAGAGUAAGAUGCGGCACUCUGAAUGUCAAAAUGAGCGUUUGGAUCUUAGGCCUUGGGGGGACCUGAGCGGGGAGAGGGACGAGCAGGGGGCCCAGACGGGGGGCCGGAGCAGAGAGUCUGACCACGGCAUCCAGAACGAAGAGACACCGGAGGCUGAGAAGGUCCAUGACAACAGGACCUUACACCUGCAGGAGGAGGUGGGACCAUUGAAACACGAGGUCGGAGGUCACCAGGAUGAGUCGUGUCCGCUCAGCCAAGAGGCCGGAGGGAUGCAGCGCCUCAUGGAGCAGAAAGAGAAGCAGCAACAGCGGCGGCUACGCCAUCAGCUCCGCGUUGGUCGGCAACAGGUCGAGACAUUUGGAGGGAAGCUAAAGAAGCAGGAGGUUGAGAUGGAAAUUCUCCGUGAGCAGCUGAAAGGAGCCGAGGAGGUGAUAAGAGACGCAGGUUUACGAGCCCGGGAGCAGAAGGAAACCAUAGCCAUUUUUAGACAAAAGUACAACGCAGCCAUGGAGAAGGUGCAUCGGGUGCAAGGACAGGUGGAGCUAUUGAAAGAGGAACUACAGUACUCACAGCAACAGCUUCGAGAUUCCCAAUUGGCCGCGCAUUCAGCGAAAGAGGAGCUCGCUGGGAUGGAGCAGCGGUAUCUGGAGAAGGUCGGCCACUGGGAGAACGCCCAGGAGGCUUUAGACCAGUUGGCGGAUGAACUCCUGGCGAGCCGGACCCUCCUGAGGGAGAGUCAACAAAGAGCUGACCACCUUAAAGGCUUAGUGGAAACCAUGCGGGAGCAGGUGGACACGAUCAAACAGCAGAAGCUGAUGUUGGAGUGCGACCGACAGCUGCACCAACAGAGUCGUUGUGAUGAGCAGUGGCACAGAGAGCAGCUACACAAGCGCUGCACCGAGCAGGUUGUGCGCCUUGCCGAGUGUGAAAAGGCGAUUCUUCAGAUGAAGUCGGAGCUGGAGAGACAGGUCCGGCGAGAAGCAGAUCGGAGGCAAAGUUCCGUUGCUUCCCGCCGUGCAAACAUGAGCGAUCGCAUCCAACUGGAACAGGAAGUGAUACAUCUGAAAAAGGAAGUGGCAGCCGUAAGGCGUGAGCCGGCGGACACCCAAAAGGUUCAUAUGGCACUUGGCCGACAGUCAGAGGAGCAGCUGAAGGAGGUCAGGAGAGCGGCGGCGAGGCGGAGCGGCGAUGGGUUCGCGCACAGAGAGGAGGUGCAGAGACUUCAGGAGGACUUACUGAAGGCGGAGGAGAGAAUGAGGAGGCAGUUGAGUCGAGAGCUGGAGGAGCCGCGCAGCGAGCCGCAAGUGACAGCGGAGGAGUUGGCAACCCGUGCAGAGGAGGCGAGGCGGAUGCAGGGGCGGCUGAAUGAGGGAAAGCUAGCGGAGGAGAAAAUAAGGUCACGGGACGGGGGGCCGGAGACAGAAGUGGCGGCGCUCCGGAGGAAUCUUCAGCAUGCUGUCGAUCACAAACUCCAGGCGGAGCGGGAGAAACGGGAAGCCCGGGAACAGGUGGACACACUGCUGGCGGAGCUGGAGGAGACGCGGUCUGAGAAGGCAAACCUGCGCCAUGAGAGCCAGUUGGUCGUGACUAAUGUCAACUGUUGGAUUGCUAAACAAAAAGCUUCCAACGAGAGCCUCAGUGGCCGGACGGAGGCCCAGAACAAGGUGCUGCUCAUCCUCACUGAAGAGAAAGCGCACCUUCAAGGUUCUAAUGACGCGUUGAAAGCGGAGGUAACGCGACUAAAAGAGGUGGGGGACGAGAAGACGAGAGACACGGAGCGCUUCCAGGCCUGGACCCGGGCGUCCCGCAAGACAGGAGAGCCAUGGAAAAGCAGAGCUGUGCGGCUGUGGCUCUAAACCUCAGCAAAAUCCAGGACAUGCAGACUAGACUUCGAAGCAACCUGGAGGCCAUCAGAAUGCUAAAUCAACAAUUGAACUCUCUCAGCGGGGAGAAUAAGCGGUUGCGCAGGCAGCUGGAGGACGAGCGGUCCGUGCGCAGACUGCUGCCUCCUCUUCCUCCUCCUCCACCUUCCAGCAGAGCUCCAUCGUCCACCUCCCCCUGUCCCCCGGUGCUCACCCGGCUCUCCUCUCUGCGCCCGCCUUGUUCUCGUCCCACCGCCCCCCCCCCCCCCUCCACCCCUCAGGCGUGGACAGAGCCUCGCUGUUGGGACAGGUGAGUCAGGGGGGGGGGGUCAGGCCCAACGCCUCACUGGGAAAAGUGCUCGGCCCGGGAGGACGAGCGGGGAUCUGAACAGACGAAGCAACACUGAAGACUUUGACCCGUCAUGACUCGUUGGCCUCCACCUCCUCGCCAGGGAGCGAAGUCAGUGCGAGGUUAAUGUCCUGCAGGUCCAAGCCGACUCCCAGGGUGCUUUUUGGCCUGAAGGGGGCUCCAGAACCGGCGAACGAUGGAAUUCCCUCAAAUCAUGUAAUAUCCACUCAGGAUAUUUCUACUGCUGGGCCAGAAGGAGAAGGAGAAUUUAUUCCAAGA
Molecule: long non-coding RNA, 4033 nt
Organism: Gasterosteus aculeatus aculeatus (three-spined stickleback)
Lineage: Eukaryota; Metazoa; Chordata; Actinopteri; Perciformes; Gasterosteidae
Source: Ensembl